CUGCAGCAACUGUAUCUACUCAUUUUUGUGUGGUUUUUAUUGUCCAGGUUUGUAGAACUGUUGAUCCAGCAAUAUUAAGAAGUUUGCAUCUCCGAUUCUUAAUGAAUUUCCGAAGUGCUUCACCUGGUCAGUAUAUAUUGCUCUUAAUUCUUUAAGUUAUAAUCAACAAAAAAUAUUAUACAUGCUACUACUAUCACUUGUUUUGCGAAACUGAAGUCGUCCUGUGGUUGUCACUCUAGAACAAGCUACAUCCCUCAAAGACAGAUUGUAACCGUCUUAGAAACUCCAGUUACGACAGUGGAAGGAGGGCUGUAUGAUUUGUUAUUACUGUACUAAUGUCCCAUAUCUCCAUGGUUGGGCCAGUGAAGAUUUAGACCCAUGGUAGCAGUUGAGUAUUGCUUGAUUCAUCCUCUCCGUGUGGAUACUGUAGUUUAAUAAGAACUGCUAUUCAGCUUUUGCUUAGCGAGAUUUGAAUUUUUUUCAAUACCAAUAUAUAUUUUCUUUGUUGCCUUGAUCUCUGAGGAAAAGCCUAAGAAGCAUUUACUUAGAUCCUUCAAUGUCAAUUAUUUAAUUGUUGCUGGUCCUAAUAUGCCACUCUUUGGUUUGAGACUUAGUUUCUCAGCUUUCAUGUACAUAGGAAUAUUGAUGCCUGACGCGAGUGAUAACCUUUAUGGAAAUUUGUUAUUACCUGAAAUUUCAUGUGUAAACUAAUCUUUUACUGAGGCAUAUUAAUCCACUUAAUGUAUACUUAAUUUUGAAGAUGCAUCCAGAAAUGUUAGACAAAUGGUGUGGUGUAUGUCUGCUAUCUUUAGAUUCUUACAACUUUUAUAUCAAUCUUUUUUAGGGUGUAUGUAGAUUUAUUAGGGCAUUCUUUUCUGAUGGCAUUAUGAUAUAUGCCGUGUACGCGUCGCCAAUGAUGCAAACAGCGGUGUCAUUCGUGUUUUCGCUGAGUCGGCAUCAGGCGACACACCUAGGCCUUAGGUGUCGAUGGCGACGAGGAGCAUGUGCUGGUCGCCGUCGCGACACUCGUGGUAAGCCAGCACCUGGUACACGUUUGGCCAGUAGCAAGGUAUAGGCCUCCUCCUUCCUCACUUCCUUCCGAUGUGUCCCUCUGCCCCUCCAGCCCUCCAUUUUAACGCACGGUCCUAAUCCCAUCUUAUCCAUCUCUCCAAUAUGGAUUGGAUGUAAGAAGUUAAGAGACCCUGAAAGAGAUGGUUGAUUUUUUCCACGUCAGGGUGAGUAGGGGUACUGCAAGGUUUGUGUAGAUUAUUACUCGAAUAGCUUAGUGUGAUUCAGCAAGUAUAUCUACAGUGGCCUGCAGUUGCACUGCUUGUGAUACAUGUAUUACAAGUUCGUAUUCAGUCCGAAUCUUUGGGGUGAGCAUGCUGAGUGGGAUUAUUAUUUUGAAAUCUUUUGGAAGCUGUUCUCAAAUUAGUUGCGUGCGGUGUUAAAUUAUGAUGUGUUUUUGAAAUUUAAUUGCUUUUUAUCUGGUGGUGCUUUUUAGGUGAGUGCUCAUGCCUAGGUUUGUGUGCUCUGCGACAUGAUUAUAUUGGGCUUGAAUUGUGAUGUAUACCAGAUCUCACUUGAAGCAUGUAUUCGUUGAUGCUGGCCAUAAGACUGCAGCUAUGUAUUUGCACAGUAUGUUACAGCUGCGGUGAAAUUUGAUUCAGAGUUGAGAUGAUGUGUUGCUGGAUUCUUAUACAUGAAGAAUCAAUCCUCUUCAAACGUUAUCAGUAUACUUCAUUCUUUCAAAGUUUUGCACUAUUGCAAAGGAUUAAGCCCCUUUAGUUUUAUAUUGUUCUUCUGGUUAGUUCACAAUGAUUUGCUCUAUUCUUUGUUCCGUGACUGUGAUGAUUGAAUGCAUGAGCCCAUGGUUGAUCUAUCCUACCAAUUUAGGGUAUGUCUCAAUGGUCUUUCUGUUCUUAGACUACCCCGUUCAUUGCUCAAUCAUGUGAACUGCGGAUGCACAGAUACACACUUUAUUCUAACAAAUCUGGUAAUUGGAAAACUUACAUAUUGCAUGUUUAUAGUGUUCAUUUCUGAAGAACUUAUAUAGUUUUUUGAACUUAUAUAGCUGAAUGAUAGAAAGUGCUGCCCGUUAUAUAGUGAAGUAAUUUGAUAGAAUGAUAUACAUGACCUAUGAACUUAUUCCUCGGAGUAGCUUCCCGUUAUUUAAUCUAAAUAUCUGAAUAUGCUUCUAAGUUCUAAGCUAGAUACUUGAUUUACUUAUUGCUGCCAUUUCCUUUCGACUGAAUUACCUUAACUAAUAUUUAUUGAUGAUUAGCAGUUAGCACAAAAUUUAUAUUUCAUAACUUCAAGAAAUAAGUACUUUGUAUGUAACCUGAUAUAACUAAUACUUAGUAUGUGCUAUGGGCAUUGUAGUUCAAUCAGAACAAGGCCUGCGAUAAGUGAUAGAAAAGCUGUCAGAAUGGUAUAUUUAUUUGAAAUAACAAUCCUAUUUGGAAUUUGCAAAUGCUUAGUUUGCUUUUUGAAUCAACCAAUGCAUCCAAAUUCCUGUGUAACCUGUGAUAGUUGGUGGAUUGACCUUGGCCUCUGUUUUAGCUCUGAUUAGUAUGCAUAUGAUUGCAGUUCUAGAGUGACAAUAUAUAUUAGUGUGCAUAAAUGAACUUAUUUCUAUGAUGCCAGGUGCCUCCCUAUGGUGUACAAGGUGGGAUUUGCAAGGCUAAGCUUUUCAUAAACGAGCAAAGAGAGACUUGUGAAGGCAGUGGUGUGGAAAGUGUAGAUAGAGCUUAUGACAAUCAUGAUGACACGAAAAAAGCCUGAGCACUGGAUUUUUCCAUGACAAGGCUCCUACCUUGUUGCAAGUGCUUUGGUGAUAUGCUCCGGCAUAUGACAACUUUUGCAUGCUUGGGUAACGCAAGUAUGACAAAUGCCCCUGUCAGUUAUUAUACUCUUCGAUGUACUUUCAGAUCCUUCAAUGUCGACUAAUGUUUCUGAUGUUCAUGAACAAAUUUGAAAGUGGAUGUGUGGUAGUACUGUAUUAUUGGUUUCAUUGUUGAUGUAAAGCUACGCCGAGUAGGCCCAUAAUGUACUGUGUGAUUAGAGAUGAUUUCUGAAGUUUUUUUUUUGUUAUUUUGUAAAUAGAUUUAAUUAGCCUCUUGUGUAUCAAAGAAACAGAAGAAACAAUGAAGUUCUUGAUGCAUUUGAUAGGGCAAUGU
Molecule: long non-coding RNA, 3179 nt
Organism: Lolium rigidum
Lineage: Eukaryota; Viridiplantae; Streptophyta; Magnoliopsida; Poales; Poaceae
Exons: 3
Source: RefSeq, a predicted model, not a curated record